Molecule: ribosomal RNA, 298 nt
Filed under: uncultured bacterium
Lineage: Bacteria
Description: partial 16S ribosomal RNA
Rfam family: Bacterial small subunit ribosomal RNA
Source: RNAcentral
GACGAACGCUGGCGGCGUGCUUAACACAUGCAAGUCGAGCGAGGGCCAUCCAGUGGCAACACUGGUGAAGCUCUAGCGGCGAACGGGUGAGUAACACGUGAGGAACCUGCCCCAGACUCUGGGAUAACUCGGGGAAACCCGAGCUAAUACCGGAUACCGUCACCUUUGGGCAUCCUUUGGUGACGAAAGUAAUUUUGGUUGGGAGGCCUCGCGGCCUAUCAGCUUGGUGGUGGGUAACGCCUACCAAGGCAACGACGGGUAGCUGGUCUGAGAGGACGAUCAGCCACACUGGGACUGA